GUGCCUAACACAUGCAAGUCGUGCGGGAAAGCGGGGGCACUCUGCAAGUACAGCGGCGCACGGGUGAGUAACACGUAGGUACCUACCUCCGAGACUGGGAUAACCUGUCGAAAGACGGGCUAAUACCAGAUAAGACCACCGAGGUUGCGGCUUCGGCGGUAAAAGACGGCCUCUGCUUGCAAGCUAUCACUUGGAGAUGGGCCUGCGCGCCAUUAGCUAGUUGGAGGGGUAAAAGCCCACCAAGGCGGAGAUGGCUAGCUGGUCUGAGAGGAUGGCCAGCCACACUGGGACUGAGACACGGCCCAG
Molecule: ribosomal RNA, 306 nt
Filed under: uncultured bacterium
Lineage: Bacteria
Description: bacterial SSU rRNA
Rfam family: Bacterial small subunit ribosomal RNA
Source: RNAcentral